Molecule: ribosomal RNA, 619 nt
Filed under: Kocuria sp.
Lineage: Bacteria; Bacillati; Actinomycetota; Actinomycetes; Micrococcales; Micrococcaceae
Description: bacterial SSU rRNA
Rfam family: Bacterial small subunit ribosomal RNA
Source: RNAcentral
CUCACGGCCUAUCAGCUUGUUGGUGGGGUAAUGGCCUACCAAGGCGACGACGGGUAGCCGGCCUGAGAGGGUGACCGGCCACACUGGGACUGAGACACGGCCCAGACUCCUACGGGAGGCAGCAGUGGGGAAUAUUGCACAAUGGGCGCAAGCCUGAUGCAGCGACGCCGCGUGAGGGAUGACGGCCUUCGGGUUGUAAACCUCUUUCAGCACGGAAGAAGCGAAAGUGACGGUACGUGCAGAAGAAGCGCCGGCUAACUACGUGCCAGCAGCCGCGGUAAUACGUAGGGCGCAAGCGUUGUCCGGAAUUAUUGGGCGUAAAGAGCUCGUAGGCGGUUUGUCGCGUCUGCUGUGAAAGCCCGGGGCUUAACCCCGGGUGUGCAGUGGGUACGGGCAGACUUGAGUGCAGUAGGGGAGACUGGAACUCCUGGUGUAGCGGUGAAAUGCGCAGAUAUCAGGAAGAACACCGAUGGCGAAGGCAGGUCUCUGGGCUGUUACUGACGCUGAGGAGCGAAAGCAUGGGGAGCGAACAGGAUUAGAUACCCUGGUAGUCCAUGCCGUAAACGUUGGGCACUAGGUGUGGGGAACAUUCCACGUUUUCCGCGCCGUAGCUAACGCA